CUCCGUUUUUUUGUACUCUAAAUGUAAAGCAAGUUUGCCUGUUGUGCCAAACUUCAUAGCACCAAGAAAUACUAUAGUUCCUGAGUUUCUUUUCUUCCAAGCUGGAAAACUCCUGGGAUAGUUUUUUAUAUUUCAUAGCUGACUAUAAAUAGCUGUCACAUAGCUGUCAUUUAUAUUCCCUUCAGGAGACUCUUUAAGAAAGGCAAUUAAAGCAUGAAACUGCAGCAGUACCUGAUGUCUGUGACUCAAAGCUUUUGUGUGAACUUAAAAUGCCUUUGACUUCCAUCUGCCAUGGACUAGGGUCAGCCUUGCUGGUCAGGAGACGUUACAUCUGUGCCUGUGGACCCGCAGAGGAGAACUGCAGGGAUGUGGGAUGCCAGGCAGAUUACAGCGAGCGACCAUUCCCCUGCACAUGGCCCGACUGCCUUAAAAAGUUCUCCCGCUCUGAUGAGCUCACCCGGCACUACCGAACCCACACCGGCGAGAAACAGUUUCGAUGCCCCCUCUGUGAGAAGCGGUUCAUGCGGAGUGACCACCUGACAAAGCACGCCCGCCGCCACACCGAGUUUCACCCCAGCAUGAUCAAGCGAUCCAAAAAGUCCAGCUCCGGCAGCUCCUUGUGAAGGCAGGGCUGGCCCGGGGAGGGGGGCAGGGGGAGGUGAGGAUGCAGGCAGUGGCGCUGGAGCAUGAGCAUCCACUGCGGUGCCGGUCACCCUCACUGUCCAAAAGCACAUGUAGCCGAUGUUCCAAAAAAAAAAAAAAUACUCUGUGCCCCCUCUCCCCGUCCUCCACCUCCCCACCUUGCGCUGGGAACAGUGGUCUGGAGCAAGUGGACUGCGGGGUGAGAGGAGGGAAGGGAUGGCCAGCAGAGGAGGCAAUCACCUCCUCUAAUGUAAAGCAUUGAUGCUGGUGUACAUAUGUCUGACUGGAAAGUCUGGCCUGUGCCACCACAGUAGCGUGACCCCAAAGUCUUUGUGAUUGUUGUUUCAUGAACAUGUUUUGUUGAACCGUGUAAUGCUGCUUGUAUUUAGAGUUUGUUGAGUAAAACCGCUUUCUGAGUCACAUAAAUAACUCUCAGAUAAAAACUCCAUAGCACAUUGUAGAAGUGGGUUUACUUCUGUCUCAGAAUGAUUCUGCAUUUAAAGAGACUGUUAAGAGAAACUUUACAUAUGUUACUAAUAGCAUCUGAUUGAUAUACUGCGAUAAGAUGAAUUUAUAUUCAAGAAGACCCAUUAAAGUAAAUGGGUCUUUUUAAUUUUUCUUUGUAUUAACUAUACUUUUGAAUAUAAGCUGCACUUUUCCAGUAAAGACAUGUAUAAUUCAAGAGGAUACUUAAAGCAAGAAAACCCUGCAAGUUUUCUGACCAUAGGUGUAUUUAGCUCUGUUAUUCUCUUACCUGGGAAAAUACAAGUCAGCCUAGAUAGUGUGGUGGGGAUAUGGGAGCAGAAGCAUAUGUCUCUCAGUCAAUCCUAUUCUUUUACUUUAUCAAUAAAUACAGUACUGUACUAUAGAAUCUAUGCCACUAACAGUGCUUUAUUCUCCUGUGUUUUGUUUGAAUGGAUGCAUAACAAGAGCUACCAUCUUUAUAAACAGCUGCUUUUUUAAAGGCUUUUUCUCUUCCUACACUUGCCUUAAAGAUUUAUUCUCUUCAUACCCUUGCCUAACUUCUGCAGAGUCCUGUGGGAGUUUUAUGUGCUAUGGAGAGAGUAGACCUUUCCUUAAGAGCACUCUGCUAAUGGAAACAGCUGAAAUUAUUGUAAGGAGCACUUCGGACAGGCUCCUGUAUCUCUUGAUCACUGUUUCUGUAGAGUGUGGGGGAAUACCAUGAGCUAAUCAGAAAUUCAGCAUGGAAGGUGUUUUGUAAUACUCCUUACAACAUAAGCUUCUCUUGUUAAUCUGUUGUACCUGUGUCAUGCAUGGCACGUCAAACACUGACAAAGGCAAUAUUACAUUUAUUUUAAAGAUAUUUCUUGCUCUUUGAGAGGAGCAAAAAUAUCACUGAAGGAAAACUUUUAAGUCAUGGUCUUAAAAGCAUGAACUGUAAGAGGUUAUCAGUGAUUUUUUCUUUUCCCUCCCCAUCAACAUAAAGUGGGGAGAAUUCUGUUUACAUGUUAUUUUUUUCGGAAACAUUCUUCUCCUGUUUUGUUUUUACCCCUUCUUCUUCUGGAGGUGCAGCCCUACUAUAGAGACUUAGGGCCAAAUUCAUCUUGUGAGUAGUCACACUCAAACCCAAAGUGUUUCCACUGCAGAUGAAUUUAGGUCAUCUUGUAAAAUUCUGUACAUAUAAAAUCUUGUCAGUACACAUGCAAUUACAGUACCUUAUUGUUUUACCUGAUAAAAAGCUUUGCUUCCUAGAAAUGAACAUAAAAAAAAUGAACUCAGAGAGUAGAGUGUUUUCUUCUACAGUUGUAUAAGGCUUUCAGCAUUAGAAAUCAGUUUGCAUAUAGUGUUUUUACCUGUGUAGUUCAUGAUAAAUUCCGUCUAUGUGAAGAGAACUGCUUUUAAGGCAAUGGGGAUAUUGAGCAGUCUGUGGAAUAAAAGGGAUGUGUUUUCUUCAGUGAAAACAUCAGGAAACCAAGCACACUUUCUACCUCUGUUUCAGCUUUUUGAAACAUUUAUUUUAGAAACCAAACUUUAAUUUCUGGUGUCCAAAUUCAGUCGUAGGGACAUACGUUCUUCCUAAUAAAAAUGGGUAGCCUUGGUAUUUCUAUGGAUAUAGAAAUACAGAAAGUGUUCUGCUUACCAGUACUGUUAAUGCUGCCUUGUUGAGUGGGGUUCAGGGCCACGUGUAGCCCAGUGAGAUUCAAAGGCACAUGCACAUUCAUUUUCAUUCUUUGUGAAGAUCACGCAAAAUUUCAAGUCCAUCCUACAGUCUGGAUUUUUGCCAUUUUGUAGGACAAAUGCAGCACUUGGAAUUAAGGCCUGAUCCUGUGAAAUACAAGACAUCCUCACAUCCUAUCAACAACCAUCCUUUCAGCCACAGCUGAUAAGCAGCUCCUAAAUCAGUACAGAGAUGUGUUGGUCACUUAGCUACCAGGAUUAACCGAUACACGGAAGUCAAUGGCCAGAUUUAUGGUUUCCACCUUGUGUAUUUGGGGUAGAAUGCACAUUUAAGGAAACAUUGUCGUUCCUGCAGUCUGUAAAAACCAGCAGGCAGGGUGUACUUUCAUCUGUGGGACAAUGGGAUGUACAGGCACAUGUUGUCAUUGUGACAAGAUCCUGUUUCUGAAAAAAACCUUCCUAAAUGGUAAUCCAUUUGCCCUAACAUAUACUGUAUUUCAGCAACAAAGGGGAUUAAUGCUAUUCACUAGCCACUAACAGAAUACUUUGGGAAUAAUCAGGUUUGGAGAUUUUGUUUCAUUGUUUUUUUCAUUUGGGGGUUUUGGGGUUUUUCUUUUAGUAAAAGAAAAUGAUUGCUCUAACACAUAAAACAAACUGCAGGUUAGUUCUUUGCAUCUUGAAGUUAAGUUUUGAAGAAUGUUGCAAGUGUUGGAAAAG
Long non-coding RNA from Athene cunicularia (burrowing owl), 3498 nucleotides. RefSeq lists it as uncharacterized. NCBI's taxonomy places the organism in Eukaryota, Metazoa, Chordata, Aves, Strigiformes, Strigidae. The record is from RefSeq and is a predicted model, not a curated record. The transcript is spliced from 2 exons.